GAUGAACGCUGACAGAAUGCUUAACACAUGCAAGUCAACUUGAACUUCGGUUUGGGUGGCGGACGGGUGAGUAACGCGUAAAGAACUUGCCUCACAGAUAGGGACAACAUUUGGAAACGAAUGCUAAUACCUGAUAUUAUGAUUUUAGGGCAUCCUAGGAUUAUGAAAGCUAUAUGCGCUGUGAGAGAGCUUUGCGUCCCAUUAGCUAGUUGGAGAGGUAACGGCUCACCAAGGCGAUGAUGGGUAGCCGGCCUGAGAGGGUGAUCGGCCACAAGGGGACUGAGACACGGCCCUUACUCCUACGGGAGGCAGCAGUGGGGAAUAUUGGACAAUGGACCAAGAGUCUGAUCCAGCAAUUCUGUGUGCACGAUGAAGUUUUUCGGAAUGUAAAGUGCUUUCAGCUGGGAAGAAAAAAAUGACGGUACCAACAGAAGAAGUGACGGCUAAAUACGUGCCAGCAGCCGCGGUAAUACGUAUGUCACAAGCGUUAUCCGGAUUUAUUGGGCGUAAAGCGCGUCUAGGUGGUUAUGUAAGUCUGAUGUGAAAAUGCAGGGCUCAACUCUGUAUUGCGUUGGAAACUGUGUAACUAGAGUACUGGAGAGGUAAGCGGAACUACAAGUGUAGAGGUGAAAUUCGUAGAUAUUUGUAGGAAUGCCGAUGGGGAAGCCAGCUUACUGGACAGAUACUGACGCUGAAGCGCGAAAGCGUGGGUAGCAAACAGG
This 722-nucleotide ribosomal RNA is filed under the name uncultured Fusobacterium sp. Its description in RNAcentral is "bacterial SSU rRNA". It matches the Rfam family "Bacterial small subunit ribosomal RNA", at positions 28 to 776 of the family's 1533-position model. Lineage: Bacteria; Fusobacteriati; Fusobacteriota; Fusobacteriia; Fusobacteriales; Fusobacteriaceae. The record is from RNAcentral.